AAUGAACGCUGGCGGCGUGGAUUAGGCAUGCAAGUCGAACGCGAACGUGCUUCUUCGGAAGUACAAGUAGAGUGGCGAAAGGGUGAGUAACGCUUGGACGAUCUACCCUCGAGUUGGGGACAACAUCCCGAAAGGGAUGCUAAUACCCGAUAGUCCGUUCUGGUCAAGGCCAGUUCGGUAAAGGUGAUUCCGCUCGAGGAGGGGUCCAAGUCCUAUCAGCCUGUCGGUGAGGUAACGGCUCACCAAGGCGAUGACGGGUAGCCGGACUGAGAGGUUGGCCGGCCACAUGGGAACUGAGACACUGUCCUG
This 309-nucleotide ribosomal RNA is filed under the name uncultured bacterium. RNAcentral's name for it is "bacterial SSU rRNA". It matches the Rfam family "Bacterial small subunit ribosomal RNA", at positions 29 to 334 of the family's 1533-position model. The record is from RNAcentral.